CGGCGUGUCGAGCUGCUAUUAAUUUGUUUAACAUUUAAUUUAAUUUAAUUCAUUUAUAAAAUAAUCAUAAAUCAGGUCAAUGAUGAAGCGCACUGCUUUUAAAUGGCUGCAUAAUAAUCACGUCAACAUAAUUGACUUUGGCGAUUGACCAGCGGCUACCACUUCAACCACGUGGUUUCUUAGCACUUGUUGAAACUUAUCAAUGCUUGAAUUAAAAUGAGCAAAGUUAAAAUAGUUGAAGUCCUUUGGAGAAGUAAAUUUGGAGCUUACACAUAACCAACAUAUGCUCGAGACUUUGUGCGCAUUAAACUGGCGGAAUGGAAAUUGGGAAAAAGCCCUUGUCCACGCUAAAAAGCACAAUGCACAUUGACCAAGCGGUCAGGCAUGAAUUUAAUAUAUUAAUUUUAUUAUACGAAAUAGUUUAAUAUUCAUAUCAAUAAUGUGUAA
This is a long non-coding RNA of Drosophila novamexicana, 447 nucleotides long. RefSeq lists it as uncharacterized. The record is from RefSeq and is a predicted model, not a curated record. Lineage: Eukaryota; Metazoa; Arthropoda; Insecta; Diptera; Drosophilidae. The transcript is spliced from 4 exons.